RNAcentral lists this transfer RNA (66 nucleotides) under Gessius rufidorsus. RNAcentral's name for it is "Gessius sp. 'rufidorsus' tRNA-Tyr". Lineage: Eukaryota; Metazoa; Arthropoda; Insecta; Hemiptera; Cicadellidae. The record is from RNAcentral.
AUUAGGAUGUCCGAAAUUUAAGGAAGUAAACUGUAAAUUUACUAAUGAAUAAUUAUUCUUCUAAUA